RNAcentral lists this ribosomal RNA (1164 nucleotides) under Chryseobacterium sp. RNAcentral's name for it is "bacterial SSU rRNA". It matches the Rfam family "Bacterial small subunit ribosomal RNA", at positions 37 to 1185 of the family's 1533-position model. Lineage: Bacteria; Pseudomonadati; Bacteroidota; Flavobacteriia; Flavobacteriales; Weeksellaceae. The record is from RNAcentral.
UGACCAACAMUGAUAUAKCACAUGCAAGCCGAGCGGUAUUGUUUCUUCGGAAAUGAGAGAGCGGCGUACGGGUGCGGAACACGUGUGCAACCUGCCUUUAUCUGGGGGAUAGCCUUUCGAAAGGGAGAUUAAUACCCCAUAAUAUUUAGAAUGGCAUCAUUUUAAAUUGAAAACUCCGGUGGAUAGAGAUGGGCACGCGCAAGAUUAGAUAGUUGGUGAGGUAACGGCUCACCAAGUCAACGAUCUUUAGGGGGCCUGAGAGGGUGAUCCCCCACACUGGUACUGAGACACGGACCAGACUCCUACGGGAGGCAGCAGUGAGGAAUAUUGGACAAUGGGUGAGAGCCUGAUCCAGCCAUCCCGCGUGAAGGACGACGGCCCUAUGGGUUGUAAACUUCUUUUGUAUAGGGAUAAACCUACCCUCGUGAGGGUAGCUGAAGGUACUAUACGAAUAAGCACCGGCUAACUCCGUGCCAGCAGCCGCGGUAAUACGGAGGGUGCAAGCGUUAUCCGGAUUUAUUGGGUUUAAAGGGUCCGUAGGCGGAUCUGUAAGUCAGUGGUGAAAUCUCACAGCUUAACUGUGAAACUGCCAUUGAUACUGCAGGUCUUGAGUGUUGUUGAAGUAGCUGGAAUAAGUAGUGUAGCGGUGAAAUGCAUAGAUAUUACUUAGAACACCAAUUGCGAAGGCAGGUUACUAAGCAACAACUGACGCUGAUGGACGAAAGCGUGGGGAGCGAACAGGAUUAGAUACCCUGGUAGUCCACGCCGUAAACGAUGCUAACUCGUUUUUGGUUUUUCGGAAUCAGAGACUAAGCGAAAGUGAUAAGUUAGCCACCUGGGGAGUACGUUCGCAAGAAUGAAACUCAAAGGAAUUGACGGGGGCCCGCACAAGCGGUGGAUUAUGUGGUUUAAUUCGAUGAUACGCGAGGAACCUUACCAAGGCUUAAAUGGGAAAUGACAGGUUUAGAAAUAGACUUUUCUUCGGACAUUUUUCAAGGUGCUGCAUGGUUGUCGUCAGCUCGUGCCGUGAGGUGUUAGGUUAAGUCCUGCAACGAGCGCAACCCCUGUCACUAGUUGCCAUCAUUAAGUUGGGGACUCUAGUGRACUKGCUACSCAGUCGAGGAGUGUAUAGCGUCAUCAUCGGUCCGUASCUGGUCACAACGU